Molecule: long non-coding RNA, 418 nt
Organism: Daucus carota subsp. sativus
Lineage: Eukaryota; Viridiplantae; Streptophyta; Magnoliopsida; Apiales; Apiaceae
Exons: 2
Source: RefSeq, a predicted model, not a curated record
GCCAUGUCCAAAAUAGAGCUCCAAGAGACUCUUAGAGGCUCUUUAAAAAGUAUACUGUACAAAUUAUCUCACUUGUGAAUUGUGAUUGAGCCUCUAUACUGCAAGGAAGAUGUUUACUUGGGUAGAAGGGGGCAAUUUACCCCUAUAGCUGUUAGGAAAAUUUUCCUCUGUAAAAGAGGGCAAUAGAGCCUAGAUAUUUAGUAAAAUGAACUGUACUACAUAAGACUAGUUGAUAUGUGAUUGGUUAAUGUACUGGCAUUAGUCUAGACUCAACUUUAAAUCCUUGAGCAAUUUUUGGGUGUUGGCCUCGAGUAUCACAAUUUGUAAGAAAAUGACCCGAAACACCGAUGCCGGUGCCGAAGAAGAUGGCCACGACUUAUAAUUUUUAUAUGUAAAACGCUAAAUCGUGUUGCUUCUA